RNAcentral lists this ribosomal RNA (253 nucleotides) under uncultured bacterium. RNAcentral's name for it is "partial 16S ribosomal RNA". It matches the Rfam family "Bacterial small subunit ribosomal RNA", at positions 524 to 776 of the family's 1533-position model. The record is from RNAcentral.
UACGGAGGGUGCGAACGUUAAUCGGAAUCACUGGGCGUAAAGCGCGCGUAGGCGGUUCGUUAAGUGGGAUGUGAAAUCCCCGGGCUUAACCUGGGAAUGGCAUUUGGGACUGCAAGGCUGGAGUUUGGCAGAGGAGACUGGAAUUCCUGGUGUAGCGGUGAAAUGCGCAGAUAUCAGGAGGAACACCGGUGGCGAAGGCGGGUCUCUGGGCCAAUACUGACGCUGAGGAGCGAAAGCGUGGGGAGCGAACAGG